Molecule: unclassified non-coding RNA, 331 nt
Filed under: soil metagenome
Description: partial contains 5.8S ribosomal RNA, internal transcribed spacer 2, and large subunit ribosomal RNA
Rfam family: 5.8S ribosomal RNA (bases 1-120)
Source: RNAcentral
GAUGAAGAACGCAGCGAAAUGCGAUAAGUAAUGUGAAUUGCAGAAUUCAGUGAAUCAUCGAAUCUUUGAACGCACAUUGCGCCCCCUGGUAUUCCGGGGGGCAUGCCUGUUCGAGCGUCAUUUCACCACUCAAGCCUCGCUUGGUAUUGGGCAACGCGGUCCGCCGCGUGCCUCAAAUCGACCGGCUGGGUCUUCUGUCCCCUAAGCGUUGUGGAAACUAUUCGCUAAAGGGUGCUCGGGAGGCUACGCCGUAAAACAAACCCAUUUCUAAGGUUGACCUCGGAUCAGGUAGGGAUACCCGCUGAGCUUAAGCAUAUCAAUAAGCGGAGGA